Exaiptasia diaphana is the source of this 696-nucleotide long non-coding RNA. RefSeq lists it as uncharacterized. The transcript is spliced from 6 exons. Lineage: Eukaryota; Metazoa; Cnidaria; Anthozoa; Actiniaria; Aiptasiidae. The record is from RefSeq and is a predicted model, not a curated record.
GUUGAUAAUGAAAUGACAUGACUUUUACAUUCAUUCAAUGCUCAAUCUAGCACUACUAUAUUCCUUUAUGCUAAAAUAAUGCUUUGCCAAUCACUCAUUAACUGUGAUAGUAGAAUUAUUUUGAUGUGAAUUAUUAUUUUGAUGCUACUGUGAAAUACCACAAUAGCACUGUUAUAUGCUGGCAUAUCAGUAACCAAACAAUAGAGCAAUGUUUGAUCAAUCCGAAUUGUUAAUCAGGUCUGUAUUUGGUUGAAUCUUAGGGAUAUUGGUAAAAAUUUGGUACGUUCUAUUGGAAACAGGACAUUCUUGGCUUUCCCAGAACUAAAAGCUUUUCUUCGUGACAAUUUGAUCACAUUCCUUCACGAUGAUGCUUUCCAAAACAAUACRSAACUAUCCUCUCUUUAUCUACAUGGUAAUAAAAUCAAAAACAUCCCUGAUGGUAUUUUCCGUAACCAGAGGCAGCUGCGAGUUCUGUAUCUUCAUAACAACAAGCUAGAAAAGUUCAGCAAAUCAUCGUUCCGAGGACUCUCCAUGCUUGAGAAAUUAACGCUCAACAACAAUACUAUCAAAGAGACAGAGAUAUCAAGGGACGCCUUUUCAGAACUGAAAAACCUUAAAUACCUGAAGCUUGACAGUUUUAUUCUCUGCUGCUAUGCCAAAAAGAGUAUCCCAGCACUGACAUGUGAAUCAUCGGAA